RNAcentral lists this ribosomal RNA (683 nucleotides) under uncultured bacterium. RNAcentral describes it as "bacterial SSU rRNA". It matches the Rfam family "Bacterial small subunit ribosomal RNA", at positions 1 to 627 of the family's 1533-position model. The record is from RNAcentral.
GGACUUAUCGUCUCGCGAUGACCAGAUGAUUAAUGAUCCUGGCUCAGAUUGCCCGCUGGCGUAAAUGCCUUACACAUGCAAGUCGAACGGCAGCACGGACUUCGGUCUGGUGGCGAGUGGCGAACGGGUGAGUAAUGUAUCGGAACGUGCCCAGUAGCUGGGGGAUAACUACGCGAAAGCUGUAGCUAAUACCUGCAUACGCCCUACGUGGGGAAAGCAGGGGAUCUGCAAGACCUUGCACUAUUGGAGCGGCCGAUAUCGGAUUAGCUAGUUGGUGGGGUAACGGCUCACCAAGGCGACGAUCCGUAGCUGGUUUGAGAGGACGACCAGCCACACUGGGACUGAGACACGGCCCAGACUCCUACGUGGAGUGCAGCANGUGGGGAAUUUUGGACAAUGGGGGAAACCCUGAUCCAGCCAUCCCGCGUGUGCGAUGAAGGCCUUCGGGUUGUAAAGCACUUUUGCGCAGGAAAGAAACGUCAUGGGUUAAUACCCCGUGAAACUUGACGGUACCUGCAGAACAAGCACCGGUNCUAACUACGUGCCAGGCAGGCCGCGGGUAAUUACGUAGGGUGCCAANGCGUUAUCGGGAAUUUAACUGGGGCCGUAAAAGCGUAGCGCAGGCGGUCUCCGGGAACGAAACGCAUGUGAAAUCCCAGAAGCUUACCUUUGGAACCUGCGUU